RNAcentral lists this long non-coding RNA (204 nucleotides) under Elaeis guineensis (African oil palm). RNAcentral describes it as "long non-coding RNA (EGUI_LNC011845)". Lineage: Eukaryota; Viridiplantae; Streptophyta; Magnoliopsida; Arecales; Arecaceae. The record is from RNAcentral.
CGAGUCUGCUUAUCUCUAGCCCGUGGACUUAGCUAAUACUAUUAUAGCAUCCAAUUUUUUUAAUUAAGCAGUUUGAUAUAUGAUUUAUUAUUUAUGGAUAUUGAUAAGAUCCUUCCAUUUAGCAGCAUCUUAAGAUGGCAUAGCUUUAACAUUAAUGACGAGGUUUAAAUGAGAAAAGGCUUACGGUGGAUACCUAGGCACCCG